ACCAUAAAACUGAUUGUGUAUGUGAGAAAACUUGCUCAACAGGAUUUAGGCAAGUUGGGGGUUUAUCACAGCAUCUUGGCAGUUGGGAGGGUUUCUGUGGGGGCAGGUGAGAACCCAGGAUAAAAGAAGCUGGGCAGCAGAGAGGGGAGCUGGGCAGCAGAGAGGAGGCAGCUAGAGAGCUGGAGAAGCCAGAGGAGCCUGGGACAAGACAUGUGAGGAAUGAAGACCAGAGUGGAAGGCAGAGAUGAAGCCGAACUCUAUUCCCCUGCCUUUUUGGCAUGCUGCUCACAGCCUGUGAAGGAUCAACUGACACAGCUGACAAGGAAGAAGCCACAUAUUGAUUGACAGCCUCAGCUGCCUGCAAAGCCCCAACCUUCUGUGUGUCAUAAGAAGUAGAAGUUACUGUAUGUUCAUUGGUGGCAGUAGGGAAAACUGAGGGAAAAACAGGACAGGGGGGUAGAGGGAGCAUUUGAGCCACUCGCAGAAGUGCCCAAUUGUGUUGAAAGCUCCCCUAAAACACCAACUGCGCUAUGCUGACUAGCACUGCGCAGCUUAGGGGGAGACAUAGACGGCAGCCGCCUCUUGUUGGCGCUCCAGCCGCACUCUUCGCGACUGCUCUCUUCUUAGCCGCACCUCUAACUAAUGCUGGCCUCUUCUUCAACGCUGAUGCCGUCAUAACAGCCGCAUUUCUUCCUGAAGGGGAUGCGGCUUGCUCGGAUCCCCCCUCUUCCCAGCGCUCUUUGACAGGCAAGCAGCACCUUCAAGAUGUCGUCACAACCAGCCUCCUUCUCCAGCCAACCAUACACACUCGACGACUUCUCAACCUGUUGCUUUGACAUUGCCAUGACAGCCGAGAACAACAAGGAACCUCUCUCCAGACAGUGCUGAGGUAACAACAAGUUAUAAUCCCCUCUAUUUAUACCUUUAUUUUUCCGCCACUCUCACCACACUCCCUUUGGACCAAUCAAAGCCCUUCGGAUCAUACCACUAUAUUUAAACCCAUAAACACUAAAAUACCCCAAUAACAACCCCUUUCCCAUGUGGUUGAAGGGCCUAAUUGUCCUUUCACCUUUCAGCUAGCAGACACAGCUCCAGCUAUACAUAUAAAUUGUGCUGCAGUUACAAGGACAGCACAGGCACGCAGCAGAGUCAGUCAGCAAGAGAAAAAGUCAGAAAGCAUAAGUGAUGGCUACUAAUAGCACAAAGUUCUCAGUAGACUAACCAGAACUACCAGUCCUGGAAGUUUAAAAUAAAAAUGCUGUUAAUCAGAGAAGGGAAAUGGAAGUGUAUACAGGAGGCCAGACCAAAUCCACCCACAGAUGAAUGGCUAGAGACAGCUCAGAAGGCACAAAGCACUAUCUCUCUCAGCAUAGAUGAUGAUCAGAUUGUGCAUGUAUGCAAAUGUGAAACUGCAAAAGAAAUGUGAUAGGAGCUACAGAAAGUGCCCGAGAUCUCAGAUGUACCUGAUUAGAAAGCUGUACCAGACUAAGCUGAUGAAAGGCCAGCAUAUGCAGAAUUAUAUAAAUUGCACCUUAGAAAUGGUGGAAUACCUGUGAGGUAUAGGAGAAAUAAAAAGACUUUCAUGUUGCAGCAUUGCUGUUUGGUGGUCUAUCAGAAAGUUAUGAGACACUUGUCACAGCACUAGAUGCACACCCAGAUGAUGAGCUGACACUGGAGUAUGUUAAAGGCAAGCUUGUGGAUGAAUACAAGCAAAAAACAUAAAGUGCAAAUGACAAAUCUGUUACAGAAACAGAAACUUCACUAGAAACUAAGGAUCAAACUAAAAACCCUAAUGUGCAGUGUGAAACUCGGGAAUGUUUUGUUUGUAAAAAGCCAGGUCAUUUAAAGGCAACUGCAGAGUCUGGAAAGCUAGAAUGAAUCAGCAAAAGAUUAAAGUUAACCAACAACUAGCCAAAAGUGUUAAAGGAGAAAUGGAAAACACAAAUGCAGAGAGUGCCUUUUACUCCAAAGAGGAUGGAUCUUCAAGUCACUGGUGUAUCGACUCAGUAGCUAAAAGUCAUAUGACCAAUGAUAAGGAAUUCUUCAUUCAGCUUCAUCAAAGCAAAACCAAAAGAAUUGUUACAACUAAUGGGCAAAUCAUGGUCUCAGAGGGAGUGGGGGAAAGGUUGUCCUAUAUGUCCCAGCUCUUGAAAGUAACUUAUUGUCUGUGAAAAAGCUAACUAAGGAAAUACAGUUAUAUUUAAAGGUGAGGACUGUGUUAUCACUAAAGAGAGUCGCAUACUCGCAAGAGGAAAUAUCAUUGAUGAACUCUAUCAGCUGGACUGUAAGGAAAUGGUUAAGGCUGCCAAAGAGGAAAGACAUGUAAACUAUAUUCACACAUGGCACCGUUGCCUUUGGCACAGAAAUCCUGAAGCAAUUAAAAGGCUUGUUCAGGACCAGCAUGCCAGUGGUAUAAAAAUGGAUGCAUGUAGUAAGCUAUUGAAAUGUACUAGCUGCAUAAAAGGGAAAAUGACAAAGAAACCUUUUCCAAAAUCCAGCAACAGCCAAGCUCAACAGUCAUUGGAUCUAAUUCACACAUAUCUAUGUGGUCCAAUGAAAACUCAGACCCCAGGUUAGAAGAAAUAUUUUCCUAUAUUUAUUGAUGAUUUCUCAAGGUACACCGUACUCCACCUGCUGCAUAGCAAUGAUGAAGUUCCAGAGAAGCUUGAACAGUAUCUUGCUCAAGUAAACAAUAAAUUUAGCAAAAUGCCAAAAACACUCUGUGCAGAUAAUGGGACUGAGUAUACAAGUGGCAAAACACAAGCCAUUCUGUGGAAACAUGGAAUUAUUUUUCAUACUACUGUACCAUACAACCCAGUGAAAAAUGGUGUUGCAAAGACAAUGAACCGCACUUUGUGUGAAGGUGGAAGAAGCAUGAUUUUUGAUGCAGAUAUACAGUACCAACCACGUAUUGGGGAGAAGCAAUUAUGACAGCCUGCUAUUUUCAAAACCGCUUACCCAGCAAAGCAACAGAGAAAACUCCAUAUGAACUAUGGAAUGGGAAGAAACCAGACCGGAAACACAUUAAAAUCUUUGGAAGCCUAUGUACAUGUUCCCAAAGAAAAACGUGCCAAGUGGGAAGCGUGUGCUGAGGAAGGUAUACUUGUUGGUUACAGUGAAUCUCAAAAAGGGUACAGAAUCCUGCACCAAAGCACCAACAAAGUUACAGUCAGCAGGAGUGUGAUUAUUGAAAAAAAAAAAUAUGUAUGUCUAAAGUUUCAUGAUGUGACAUCAACUGGCAAA
Xenopus laevis (African clawed frog) is the source of this 3243-nucleotide long non-coding RNA. RefSeq lists it as uncharacterized. The transcript has 2 exons. Lineage: Eukaryota; Metazoa; Chordata; Amphibia; Anura; Pipidae. The record is from RefSeq and is a predicted model, not a curated record.